AAGUGCUGGGCAGGUUAAUGAAUGGGUCCAAGCUUGACCUCUCUUUCCCAAAGGAGCCUGGAACUGUGAACAGUGACAGAUGAUCUAGAAAACUGGCUUCUCAGUAAUAGGCAUGAGACACCUGACCACCAAGUCUCAGAGGAUAUCCAUCAGGACCUACCUCGAUCUUCCUCAUCACUAGAAGUCCAUCAAUGAUUUUUCCUGCAGAAGAACAUUAAGUGAGAGGGCCUUCAGAUCAAGCCAUCUGUCCCUGCCUUUGAAGAACUCACAAGGAAAAGGAAGCUCUAACAACUAUGCUACAGAUGGCUCUGGUGCAGGCCUGUAGACCUGGUUCCUUUGGUGGCUGAGGCAGGAGGACUGUUGAGCUCAGGGUCUCUGUGGGAGACAGAAUGACUUCAAGGCCGUCUUAAGCAAUGGAGUGGGAUCCUACUGCAAAGGAAAAAGCAGAAAGAGGGCUGAGGGGCUGGCCAGGGGUCAGAGGGUAAAGGCAAUUGCUCCAUAAGCCUGACAACCUGAGCUUAACCCCUAGAAUUCAGGUAAAGGAGAGAGGAGAGAACUGACUUCCAAAAGUUGUCCUCUGACUUCCACAUACCCACACACUGGAAACAUGCACCCUCAACAUCACGCACAUACAUAAACUCACAAUAAAUAAGCUGGGCGUGGUGGCCCUUGGAACAUAGAAGCAGGUAGAUCUAUUUGAGUUUGAAACCAGCCUGUCUAUAUACCAAGUUUCAUGUCAGUCAGAGUUACAUGGUCAGAUCCUGUCUUAAAACAAAAAUAACAAAUAAAGAGUUGCAAAGG
Molecule: long non-coding RNA, 801 nt
Organism: Mastomys coucha (southern multimammate mouse)
Lineage: Eukaryota; Metazoa; Chordata; Mammalia; Rodentia; Muridae
Exons: 2
Source: RefSeq, a predicted model, not a curated record